This is a long non-coding RNA of Homo sapiens (human), 2608 nucleotides long. The record is from Ensembl. Lineage: Eukaryota; Metazoa; Chordata; Mammalia; Primates; Hominidae.
AGUAUUUCUGCCGUGAACAUGGCCGUCGAGGAGGACUCAUGAAGACUCUAAAUCUCUCUCGGGUAAACCUGGCGUUGGCAGUACUCCUGGAUGUUUUGCUGUCGUUGGGAGUUCUCUGGAUGGGGACGCCUCGGGUGGCUGGCACGUGUGCUGAGUCAGUGCUAAGCCCCGUGCGUGAUCAACCCUGGGGCCACAGUGACCCUGUUCACCCAAUGUUACAGCUGGGUGAGAAACUGAGGCCCAGAGAGGUUAAGUAACUCUCCCAGGUCACACAGCCGGGCAGUGGCCUAGUGGGCUCUGAACCCCAGAACCCCCGCACCUUUCCGGAGGAAGGCCCCGCGACGGUGGUCCAGCAGGCUGGGAGGCAGCAGCGUGUAGUUGGACAUGGUGUUGGCCUUCAUGGCGCUGAAGGUUGAGUGUGCCACGACGGAGCCCAGUGCCUCCUUGCCCAGCGGACGGCCCAGGAACCCACAGAUGCGCUCCACGGAGCCCUGUGAGGGGGAUGGAAGACGUCAGACUCACCUAACAGAUGCAGGAAGGGGGCCCAGAGAGGUAAUGUGGCUUCCCCCAGGGCACACAGCACUGCCCGCCUUCACUCUGAUGACUGUCAACCCCAUGAAAGAAGGGCUUGUUCUAUGUCAAAUCUGCGGUUAUUUCCCAAGGGAAGAGCCUGGAAUAUAGUAAAUGCUCAAUAAGUGCCUGUUGAUGGAAUGAAUGAAUUGUCACAGGAAGACGUGAUGGAAUGAGUGAAGGUCAUGGUGGUGCCAGGAGAAGUCCACUGAAUCUCUGUGGAGAAUGAGGAGGGAGCUGAGGAGAUGCAAAAGCCUGAUUCUGGAAGGCGAGGGGUCCAGACUCCUACAGAGGUGGCAAGGAGGAACCAGAAGACACCAGAGUGACAUUUUAGCCAAUUGUGAGAGUGCAGAGAUACUAGUGGAGACCAUCAACCCCCAGAAAUGAAUCUGAGGGUCUUGGACAUCUGGGAGACAAGGACGAGACCAGAAGGAUGAAGGAGUGGGCUGGGCUUGGUGGCUCAUGCCUGUAAUCCCAGCACUUUGGGAGGCCCAGGCGGGUGGAUCACGAGGUCGGGAGUUCAAGACCAGCCUGGCCAACAUAGUAAAACCCCGUCUCUACUAAAAAUACAAAAAUUAGCCGGGAGUGGUGGUGGGUGCCUAUAAUCCCAGCUCCUCAGGAGGCUGAGGCAGAGAAUUGCUUGAACCCAGGAGGUGGAGAUUGCAGUGAGCCGAGAUUGUGCCACUGUGCUCCAGCCUGGGCAACAGAGCAAGACUCGGUCUCAAUUAAAAAAAAAAAAAAAAAAAGAUGAAGAGUGUGGGAAAAUGCAAGUGGAAAACCCAGAGCCACUUGGUCAUGGGUAGUGAGAGGAGCAAGGAUUAUACAUCCAUUCAUCCCUCCAGCUGUUCAUCCCUCUAUCUAUGCAUCCACCUGUCCCUCUAUUCAUCCAUCAUCCAUCCACCCGACCAUCCACCCAACCAUUCAUUCAGCCACCCAACCACUUAUCCAAUCAUCCAUUCAACAUCCAUCUAUCUACCCAUCCAACCAUCCAUCCCUCCAUCCAUUCAUCAGCCAUCAAACCAUCCACCUCUUCAUCCAUUCAUCAUCUAUCCAUCCAUUCAUCCAUCCAACCAUCUACUCAACCAUCCAUCUAUCCAGCCAUCCAUCACCCAUCCAUCCAUUUUCCAUCCAUUCAUCUAGCCACCCAACCAUCCAACCAUCCAUCUAUCCAUCCAUCCUGCAUUCAUUCAGCCAUUUAUUCAUCCAUCACCCAACCAUUCCUUCAUCUAUCCAUUCAUCCAUCCAUCCUGCCAUCCAUUCAUCACUGUCUAUCCAUUCAUCCAUCCAAGCAUCUACUCAACCAUCCUUCUAUCCAUCCAUCCAUCCUCUAUUCAUCCACUCAGCCAGGUAUCCAUUCAACCAGCCAUCUAUGCAUCCAUCUUUCUAUGCAUCCUCCAUCCAUUCAUCCAUCCAUCCAACCAUCUACCCAUCCAUUCGACCAUCCGUCCAUCCAUCCAUCCAUCCAUCCAUCCAUCCAUGCAUCCACUCAUCCAUUCAUCCAGGCAUCCAAUAGUCUAUUUUUCCAACUAAUAUCUGUAGAGACCUCCUCUGGGUCAGUCUCUGAUAUUGUGUCCACAAACAAGACAUGUAAGUAAAUGGCUUACAUCUGUGCUGUCCAUCCCAGAAGCCACUGGCCAUAGGUGGCUAUUUAGCACCUAUGUGCAAUGUGACUGAGAAAGUGAAAAUUUUCCAUUUUAUUUCAUUUUAAUUAAUUUAAAUAAAUUUAAUUUAAAAAAAUUAAAAUUAAUUUAAAUUAAUUAAAAUGAAUUAAUUUUAUUUCAUUUUAAAAAUUUUUAAAAAAUAAAAAAUUAUUUCAUUUUAAUUAAUUUAAAUGAAAUUAAAUUUUCAUUUAAUUAAUUCCAUUUUAAUGUACCUUUUCGAAAUUGAGCAUCAAAAUUGAGAUACAAAGCAUAUAAAACAUCUCAUGGGUAAUUUCUAUAUUGAUUACAUGCUGAAGUGGUGAUAUUUUAGAUACAUCAAAUUGAAUAAAAUCUAUUCCUACAAUUAAUUAUUUUCUUUUCUUUUUUCCUUCUAGUCU